AGAGUUUGAUCCUGGCUCAGGACGAACGCUGGCGGCGUGCCUAAUACAUGCAAGUCGAGCGAAUCUUUGGGAGCUUGCUCCCAUUGGUUAGCGGCGGACGGGUGAGUAACACGUGGGCAACCUGCCUGUAAGACUGGGAUAACACCGGGAAACCGGUGCUAAUACCGGAUAAUCCUUUCCUUCACAUGAAGGAAAGCUGAAAGACGGUUUCGGCUGUCACUUACAGAUGGGCCCGCGGCGCAUUAGCUAGUUGGUGAGGUAAUGGCUCACCAAGGCGACGACGGGUAGCCGGCCUGAGAGGGCGACCGGCCACACUGGGACUGAGACACGGCCCAGACUCCUACGGGAGGCAGCAGUGGGGAAUAUUGCACAAUGGGCGAAAGCCUGAUGCAGCGACGCCGCGUGAGGGAUGACGGCCUUCGGGUUGUAAACCUCUUUCAGCAGGGAAGAAGCGCAAGUGACGGUACCUGCAGAAGAAGCACCGGCUAACUACGUGCCAGCAGCCGCGGUAAUACGUAGGGUGCGAGCGUUGUCCGGAAUUAUUGGGCGUAAAGAGCUUGUAGGCGGCUUGUCGCGUCUGCUGUGAAAAUCCGAGGCUCAACCUCGGACUUGCAGUGGGUACGGGCAGGCUAGAGUGUGGUAGGGGAGACUGGAAUUCCUGGUGUAGCGGUGAAAUGCGCAGAUAUCAGGAGGAACACCGAUGGCGAAGGCAGGUCUCUGGGCCACUACUGACGCUGAGAAGCGAAAGCAUGGGGAGCGAACAGGAUUAGAUACCCUGGUAGUCCAUGCCGUAAACGUUGGGAACUAGGUGUGGGUCUCAUUCCACGAGAUCCGUGCCGCAGCUAGCGCAUUAAUUUCCCCGCCUGGGGAGUACGGCCGCAAGGCUAAAACUCAAAGGAAUUGACGG
Molecule: ribosomal RNA, 907 nt
Filed under: uncultured Actinomycetes bacterium
Lineage: Bacteria; Bacillati; Actinomycetota; Actinomycetes
Description: SSU rRNA
Rfam family: Bacterial small subunit ribosomal RNA
Source: RNAcentral